Molecule: ribosomal RNA, 253 nt
Filed under: uncultured bacterium
Lineage: Bacteria
Description: partial 16S ribosomal RNA
Rfam family: Bacterial small subunit ribosomal RNA
Source: RNAcentral
UACAGAGGGGGCAAGCGUUGUUCGGAAUUACUGGGCGUAAAGGGCGCGUAGGCGGCCUUCUAAGUCGAACGUGAAAUCCCCGGGCUCAACCCGGGAACUGCGUCCGAGACUGGCAGGCUCGAAUCCGGGAGAGGGAUGUGGAAUUCCAGGUGUAGCGGUGAAAUGCGUAGAUAUCUGGAGGAACACCGGUGGCGAAGGCGGCAUCCUGGACCGGUAUUGACGCUGAGGCGCGAAAGCCAGGGGAGCAAACGGG